GUGGGGAUUAGUGGCGAACGGGUGAGUAACACGUGGGCAAUCUGCCCUGCACUCUGGGACAAGCCCUGGAAACGGGGUCUAAUACCGGAUACUGAUCCUCGCAGGCAUCUGCGAGGUUCGAAAGCUCCGGCGGUGCAGGAUGAGCCCGCGGCCUAUCAGCUAGUUGGUGAGGUAAUGGCUCACCAAGGCGACGACGGGUAGCCGGCCUGAGAGGGCGACCGGCCACACUGGGACUGAGACACGGCCCAGACUCCUACGGGAGGCAGCAGUGGGGAAUAUUGCACAAUGGGCGAAAGCCUGAUGCAGCGACGCCGCGUGAGGGAUGACGGCCUUCGGGUUGUAAACCUCUUUCAGCAGGGAAGAAGCGAAAGUGACGGUACCUGCAGAAGAAGCGCCGGCUAACUACGUGCCAGCAGCCGCGGUAAUACGUAGGGCGCAAGCGUUGUCCGGAAUUAUUGGGCGUAAAGAGCUCGUAGGCGGCUUGUCACGUCGGUUGUGAAAGCCCGGGGCUUAACCCCGGGUCUGCAGUCGAUACGGGCAGGCUAGAGUUCGGUAGGGGAGAUCGGAAUUCCUGGUGUAGCGGUGAAAUGCGCAGAUAUCAGGAGGAACACCGGUGGCGAAGGCGGAUCUCUGGGCCGAUACUGACGCUGAGGAGCGAAAGCGUGGGGAGCGAACAGGAUUAGAUACCCUGGUAGUCCACGCCGUAAACGGUGGGCACUAGGU
RNAcentral lists this ribosomal RNA (723 nucleotides) under Actinomycetes bacterium. Its description in RNAcentral is "bacterial SSU rRNA". It matches the Rfam family "Bacterial small subunit ribosomal RNA", at positions 85 to 821 of the family's 1533-position model. Lineage: Bacteria; Bacillati; Actinomycetota; Actinomycetes. The record is from RNAcentral.